UACGUAGGGUGCGAGCGUUUAAUCGGAAUUACUGGGCGUAAAGCGUGCGCAGGCGGUUUUGUAAGCCAGAUGUGAAAUCCCCGGGCUUAACCUGGGAAUGGCAUUUGGGACUGCAAGGCUGGAGUACGGCAGAGGAGACUGGAAUUCCUGGUGUAGCAGUGAAAUGCGUAGAGAUCAGGAGGAAUACCGAUGGCGAAGGCAGGUCUCUGGGCUGAUACUGACGCUCAUG
This 229-nucleotide ribosomal RNA is filed under the name uncultured bacterium. RNAcentral's name for it is "partial 16S ribosomal RNA". It matches the Rfam family "Bacterial small subunit ribosomal RNA", at positions 524 to 751 of the family's 1533-position model. The record is from RNAcentral.